AUUUGAAAGUCUUGAAGAGGGGUAAUUAUUCUUGUACCAUAGAGAUUGUAUUGCUCUUUACAUGGGGGAAAUUUUAUAUUGGAGUACAAUUUGCUAGUUUAACUCAUGGGAUUGUGUGUUUAAUCAAGUUGUAUACAAUCUAAGGGAUAUAUAGCUUGACCAAGUUAGAUACACUGGGGCAUUUUUAUCUUUAUGGUUUGGCCACCCUCUGGACUAUCAGAUCAGUAGGUGCUCAUUAAACAGAGGUAUUUAGCACAUGUAUUGGAGAUAGAAAUUCUUAACUAGAUGCUUUCCAUAGCAAUGGAUAUGGGCUUUUAUGUAGAUUAAGGUGGGAAGCACAGAAGGGAAAUGAUGUUUUGUCACCUCUUCACUGGUAACACUCAUUUCCUGUGGUGGAGAGUUUGGUCAAAUCCUCAACUUAAUGUGCAUCCCACUCUGUUUUGAUGUGGUAUUUGAGCUGAGGUUAAUUUGCGGUUAAAUUAGAUGACUCCUCUGGCUGAAGAAGUGGGUGGUUGUCUUGUAGCAAGCUACACCAUGUAAAGGGGGUCUCUUUGUUGGAUGGAUGUUCAUCUUCCUUAAUGAGCUAAACUCAAAGGAAAAAACUUUUGGGUUCUCAUUGCAAAAAAGAAAAAAAAAAAAAUUGAACUGAAACUUGUCUAAUAGAAAAAAGCGAUUAUUUAUCCUAUGGUGUGGGAGGCUUACUCUUGUAAAAGCACUUCUUUCGAUGUUCUUGAUUAUCCCUAUUCCUUAAUUUCUGGCAAAUACGUUAGUUCAAGUUGAAGUUUAGAAAAAGGUUUCUAUGAGUUUGCAAAGGACAGUAACAUUUCAUAUGGGAAGGGGGACUAGAAGCGCAUUGACAAGGGCAUUCUAGGCACCAAUUGUUUGUCUUUACCUCUGGAGUGGAGGGCUGUUUGUUUUCACUGUUUGACCCCUAAUGGCUAAGUUCAGGUAUUUGGUGAACCAAAAAAGUUACAAUUAUUGGCUAUUUCAAGCCCAACAAUUGUUGAUUCUAAAAGCUCAAAAAUGGAGAUUUUGGACAAAAUUGUGCUUAUUAUAACUUUAUAAGUUAUUAACAAGUGGGCAUUUAAUAGAGCUUUUAAUGUCAAGUAGUUUUAGAGAUUCAUUAUUGAAAAGGGGUCCUCUAAAGUGGAUGUUUGUUGGCUUGUUUUCAAACAUGGCUUGGAUCACAAUGGCUGGGACUCAAAGUGGAUAUUUUGUGUGUGUUUGAGGGUGUCUUGUUUUGGCAUGAUCCAGAGUACAAAUAUUCUUCUCCAAAAUCUGAUUGCUAUAUCUUCGUUUGUUGGCACAGGAUAGGGACAUUUAAGAGAAUAUUGAGUAAUUGUAUGUUCCCCUCAAUGAAAUUCUAUCUUAGAAAAUAUCCUCGUGAGACACUGUCAAGACUGAUUUAAAGAUGUUCUAUAUAUAUUGCGGACGUGCAGAGGGAGGACAUGGCUAGAUUGAUUAGUAGUAAGGAAGAGUGUUUUGAUCUGAUGAUAGCUCGUAUUAUUGGGUCCUUGUUAACAAAUGCAAUAGUGAGGACAGGGAUAACUAACCAAAGAGGUCAAUUUGGAAAGCUUAUGCCUGGGGGAUUGUGGUAGAGGAUCCUGGCCAUUGACAAUUUUCAUGACAUGCGAAAGUUCAAACUUGCUAAAUGCUUUCUGUCUGAAAAAAAAAAAUGCUAUCGUUUUCAUUGAUAAGAAUGCAACUUAUAAAAAGAAAGAAA
This 1723-nucleotide unclassified non-coding RNA is filed under the name Hevea brasiliensis (rubber tree). Lineage: Eukaryota; Viridiplantae; Streptophyta; Magnoliopsida; Malpighiales; Euphorbiaceae. The record is from RNAcentral.